RNAcentral lists this ribosomal RNA (468 nucleotides) under uncultured bacterium. RNAcentral describes it as "partial 16S ribosomal RNA". It matches the Rfam family "Bacterial small subunit ribosomal RNA", at positions 28 to 507 of the family's 1533-position model. The record is from RNAcentral.
GACGAACGCUGGCGGCGUGCUUAACACAUGCAAGUCGAACGGAAAGGCCCUGCUUUUGUGGGGUGCUCGAGUGGCGAACGGGUGAGUAACACGUGAGUAACCUGCCCUUGACUUUGGGAUAACUUCAGGAAACUGGGGCUAAUACCGGAUAGGAGCUCCUGCUGCAUGGUGGGGGUUGGAAAGUUUCGGCGGUCGGGGAUGGACUCGCGGCUUAUCAGCUUGUGGGUGGGGUAGUGGCUUACCAAGGCUUUGACGGGUAGCCGGCCUGAGAGGGUGACCGGCCACAUUGGGACUGCGAUACGGCCCAGACUCCUACGGGAGGCAGCAGUGGGGAAUAUUGCACAAUGGGCGGAAGCCUGAUGCAGCAACGCCGCGUGCGGGAUGACGGCCUUCGGGUUGUAAACCGCUUUCGCCUGUGACGAAGCGUGAGUGACGGUAAUGGGUAAAGAAGCACCGGCUAACUACGUG